UUCAUUUAUGUUUCUACUCAAUAUCGCGCUUUAUUGUGUGAUUAUUUGAAUGAUGGUUAUUAGUUUCUGCUGACUGAUAUUAGGUCGAGCUCAAUUUCUAUGAUAUCAAUGGCUCCUCAACUGCCAACGCAGUUUCUUGUUCAGACCCAGUAUGUAGUACUAUGGUUCCACCAGCAUCGUCUCACUGCUCAGCUGAAAGUAAACAGUGCGGUUACUCGUUUCAAUAUGGUGAUGGAAGUGGGACCUCAGGGUUUUAUGUGUCUACUAUGAUGUACUUUUAUAUGAUCUAGGGAGCUCUAUGAACGCUAAUUCACCUGCCUCUAUCGUUUUCAGAUGCAACAAUUAUCAAUCUGGAGAUUUGAUCAAUUCAGAACGUGCUCUUGAUGGGAUCUUUGGUUUUGGUCAGCAGGGCUUGUCCUUUGUAUCUCAAUUUUCUUCCAGGGUAAUAACACCUCAACCAUUUUCCCAUUUUUGAAAGGAGGAGGAAAUGGUGGGGUUAUUCUGGUGCUUGUAAGAUUUUGGGCCCAAGUAUUGCGUAUGGUCCACUUGUGCCAUCAUAGGAGGAGAGGAUGCUGCCAUUGUCAGAUACAUGUACACAAGGAUGACUGAAAUCACUAGAGAACUACUAGGAAAGAUACUGGAAUCACUUCACAGUUAGUGGAACUAUUGAGGUAGUGGAUGUAGACAGUGCAAGUGAUGCAAGUGAUGCAAG
Spinacia oleracea (spinach) is the source of this 712-nucleotide long non-coding RNA. RefSeq lists it as uncharacterized. The transcript is spliced from 3 exons. NCBI's taxonomy places the organism in Eukaryota, Viridiplantae, Streptophyta, Magnoliopsida, Caryophyllales, Amaranthaceae. The record is from RefSeq and is a predicted model, not a curated record.